GACGAACGCUGGCGGCGUGCUUAACACAUGCAAGUCGAACGAAGAGCGAUGGAAGCUUGCUUCUAUCAAUCUUAGUGGCGCACGGGUGAGUAACGCGUAAUCAACCUGCCCUUCAGAGGGGGACAACAGUUGGAAACGACUGCUAAUACCGCAUACGAUCUAAUCUCGGCAUCGAGGAUAGAUGAAAGGUGGCCUCUACAUGUAAGCUAUCACUGAAGGAGGGGAUUGCGUCUGAUUAGCUAGUUGGAGGGGUAACGGCCCACCAAGGCGAUGAUCAGUAGCCGGUCUGAGAGGAUGAACGGCCACAUUGGGACUGAGACACGGCCCAGACUCCUACGGGAGGCAGCAGUGGGGAAUCUUCCGCAAUGGACGAAAGUCUGACGGAGCAACGCCGCGUGAGCGAUGACGGCCUUCGGGUUGUAAAGCUCUGUUAAUCGGGACGAAAGGCCUCCUUGCGAAUAGUGAGAAGGAUUGACGGUACCGGAAUAGAAAGCCACGGCUAACUACGUG
This 510-nucleotide ribosomal RNA is filed under the name uncultured bacterium. RNAcentral describes it as "partial 16S ribosomal RNA". It matches the Rfam family "Bacterial small subunit ribosomal RNA", at positions 28 to 507 of the family's 1533-position model. The record is from RNAcentral.